GAUGAACGCUGGCGGCGUGCCUAAUACAUGCAAGUCGAGCGAACAGACGAGGAGCUUGCUCCUCUGACGUUAGCGGCGGACGGGUGAGUAACACGUGGAUAACCUACCUAUAAGACUGGGAUAACUUCGGGAAACCGGAGCUAAUACCGGAUAAUAUAUUGAACCGCAUGGUUCAAUAGUGAAAGACGGUUUUGCUGUCACUUAUAGAUGGAUCCGCGCCGCAUUAGCUAGUUGGUAAGGUAACGGCUUACCAAGGCAACGAUGCGUAGCCGACCUGAGAGGGUGAACGGCCACAAUGGAACUGAGACACGGUCCAGACUCCUACGGGAGGCAGCAGUAGGGAAUCUUCCGCAAUGGGCGAAAGCUUGACGGAGCAACGCCGCGUGAGUGAUGAAGGUCUUCGGAUCGUAAAACUCUGUUAUUAGGGAAGAACAAAUGUGUAAGUAACUAUGCACGUCUUGACGGUACCUAAUCAGAAAGCCACGGCUAACUACGUG
RNAcentral lists this ribosomal RNA (497 nucleotides) under uncultured bacterium. RNAcentral's name for it is "partial 16S ribosomal RNA". It matches the Rfam family "Bacterial small subunit ribosomal RNA", at positions 28 to 507 of the family's 1533-position model. The record is from RNAcentral.